AAGACUAUAGACCUGCGGAGUACCUGCGGAAGGAUCAUUAGUGAACGCCCUCACGGGCUUAUAACUAUUCCAAACCUCUGUGAACCGUGCCCUUCGGGGCUAUUUUACAAACAUGGUGUAAUGAACGUCAUAUAACAUAACAAAACAAAACUUUCAACAACGGAUCUCU
Molecule: unclassified non-coding RNA, 169 nt
Filed under: soil metagenome
Description: partial contains 5.8S ribosomal RNA, internal transcribed spacer 2, and large subunit ribosomal RNA
Source: RNAcentral